Molecule: ribosomal RNA, 635 nt
Filed under: Clostridioides difficile
Lineage: Bacteria; Bacillati; Bacillota; Clostridia; Peptostreptococcales; Peptostreptococcaceae
Description: bacterial SSU rRNA
Rfam family: Bacterial small subunit ribosomal RNA
Source: RNAcentral
CAGGAUGGACCCGCGUCUGAUUAGCUAGUUGGUAAGGUAACGGCUUACCAAGGCGACGAUCAGUAGCCGACCUGAGAGGGUGAUCGGCCACAUUGGAACUGAGACACGGUCCAAACUCCUACGGGAGGCAGCAGUGGGGAAUAUUGCACAAUGGGCGAAAGCCUGAUGCAGCAACGCCGCGUGAGUGAUGAAGGCCUUCGGGUCGUAAAACUCUGUCCUCAAGGAAGAUAAUGACGGUACUUGAGGAGGAAGCCCCGGCUAACUACGUGCCAGCAGCCGCGGUAAUACGUAGGGGGCUAGCGUUAUCCGGAUUUACUGGGCGUAAAGGGUGCGUAGGCGGUCUUUCAAGUCAGGAGUGAAAGGCUACGGCUCAACCGUAGUAAGCUCUUGAAACUGGGAGACUUGAGUGCAGGAGAGGAGAGUGGAAUUCCUAGUGUAGCGGUGAAAUGCGUAGAUAUUAGGAGGAACACCAGUUGCGAAGGCGGCUCUCUGGACUGUAACUGACGCUGAGGCACGAAAGCGUGGGGAGCAAACAGGAUUAGAUACCCUGGUAGUCCACGCUGUAAACGAUGAGUACUAGGUGUCGGGGGUUACCCCCUUCGGUGCCGCAGCUAACGCAUUAAGUACUCCGCCUG